Oncorhynchus nerka (sockeye salmon) is the source of this 1246-nucleotide long non-coding RNA. RefSeq lists it as uncharacterized. The transcript is spliced from 3 exons. Lineage: Eukaryota; Metazoa; Chordata; Actinopteri; Salmoniformes; Salmonidae. The record is from RefSeq and is a predicted model, not a curated record.
GACAAGUCUUCAGGGGGAGACAUCUCACUUGCAAAGAAUCCGCCCAAGACUUCGGACCUCUCCUUCUGUAAAGCAUGGACUACCCGAUCAACAUAAAUACGAGUCCAUGGCCAGGCGGGAACUGUGACACUUGAAACAAAGGGACCCGGCUCGUGUGGUGUCACUCUGCUUCCGUGUGAUUGAUACAGGCCACAGCAGCCGCUUCAAACAACAACGGAUGUCCACUUCCACCGGGGGCUGCAGUGAGACAUAGCUACUGGGAUUUCCAAUAGUACCCACUGCCCUCUGACAGACACCUGCUACGUGGACCACAGCUCCACAUCUCUCCAUCUAGAUUCUACGCUACAGCAUGGUCGUACUGCAGUGAAACACAAUGUCUGGUGAUACCGCAUAACUAAUCUAAUCAUAUAGAAAUGUUUUGCUGUUUUUAUACCAGUAUAUUAAAGUAAGCAUAUAAAAAAUGUAUACGGUUUGUCAUGGCAUGAUAUACGCAAUUAGAUUAGAUUGUUAUUAGUAAGGAUGAUUAUUAUCUCAAUAAAUAAAGAUUUCAAUUGAAAAAUGUGUUUUAAAAAGGAUUAACGCGACAGGGUUGUUUAUAUGGCUUAAUAUUGGUUUAGACCACUUGGUAAUUCAGAUAUAGCAACUGUCAGAUGUACUAUCAGACAACUAUUGAGAUAAAGAAAAUCUUGAAGUGACUUUAAAAUACUUCAAAUUAUUUAAGGCAUGCUUGAUUUAGCUUGGAGUAUGCACUCCAGUAUUCCAUUGGUUUUUAUUGUGAACAUAAUCAAUUGCACCUCGAGUACUUGAAUGUAUUUGACACAGGUCUGGAGAACUGUGACAACCAAUCCAUGUCUCAGUUUCCCCUACUUUAUUGCCCAGCUCUAUGAAAAGCAGGAAGUGCAAAAUCGGAGCGUUACAGAGAGUUUGUCUCAGAACUAUUAAAGGAUAGUUCAUCUUUUCACAAGCAAACAUAUUUCAACCCUCUUAACAUGAUCACACCUGGACGACAAGUGCCUUCAAAAAGUAUUCACACCCCUUGACUUUUUACACAUUUUGUGGUGUUACAGGCUGGAUUUAAAAUGGAGUAAACAUAGUUUUUUUUUUUAUCACUGGCCUACACACAAUUCCCCAUAACGUCAAAGUGGAAAUGUUUUUUUGUUUGUUGAUUUUUUAAAACAAAUGUAUUAAAAAUGAAAAGCUGAAAUGUCUUCAGUAGUAUUCAACCUCUUUGUUUUGGCAAGCCUAA